This 75-nucleotide ribosomal RNA is filed under the name Staphylococcus epidermidis VCU120. The record is from RNAcentral. Lineage: Bacteria; Bacillati; Bacillota; Bacilli; Caryophanales; Staphylococcaceae.
ACAAUGGCAAGGAGGUCACACCUGUUCCCAUGCCGAACACAGAAGUUAAGCUCCUUAGCGCCGAUGGUAGUCGGA